This 961-nucleotide long non-coding RNA is filed under the name Durio zibethinus. RNAcentral describes it as "long non-coding RNA (DZIB_LNC001042)". Lineage: Eukaryota; Viridiplantae; Streptophyta; Magnoliopsida; Malvales; Malvaceae. The record is from RNAcentral.
CCCAAUCAAACAAGUUAGGAGACAGACAGCAAUUGAGAUAGAAAAUACAAAAGAGAAUUGAGCAAGCUUGGCUCCAGCUCUAAUUUUUAGCUAGUUCACUUAUACCCGAAAGCUUUAUACCACUGUGAACUACCCAGUUUCAGCUAUCAAACCCAGUACAACCUUCUAGCAUUAACACUCACAAAAACUACCAUAGUCCGAAACUUUCCCAUUUCAACCAAACCCAUCUGUAAUCAGCAUCCACCAUCAACAACCAUAUCGAAUUCCUAGUUUCUAGCAGUCUCAAAGCACCUAAAAUUUUUCAGUCUUACAAUAAGCAUGCAAAGGCAGAACCCAGAACCAUAAGCCAUAUCGCAACAAAAAAAUCAAGCAAACAAAAAAACACAGAUAGUCAACAGAACCAUUCAUCGUAGCAAUUGAGAUUAAUCAAGCCACUCCCAAAUUGAUCAUGCCACCAGCAUCAAAUCUCCACCAAACAGCCAUCAACAUCAAUAACCCAAGAAAAAAAGGAAAAAAGUCAAAAAGAAAGAAACCAAAAAAAAAAAAGGAGUUUUCUUAGGUUGUGAGCUUUAAACCCAGUGAGGGAAUAGUCAAAAACAAAGGAAAGAACAUAUCUCAUUGUAGCGGCGAAGGAAUGGCAGAGGAAGAGAUUUUAUCUAGCCCAUGGCGUUUAAAGCCAGAUCUACAGAGUUAGAGACAUUUUCGUGGAAAACUAAUAAAACCACGUGAGAGUAGAGGCUUAUAGGACCUUUUUUGGAAUUUGUUAAAGUUUCUCGAUCAUCGUUGGAUGGGCUGACGGUGACGAUAACCGAUGGAGGGCAUGGCGAUUAUGGUGACCUCACCUAGUUCUAGGUUUCUUGGUCGCUGGAAUUCAUAUUGGCUAAAAAGAGGGAGAGAGAGAAAGCAUUGGAGAAAAAUGAAUCCAUGAAUUGAUUUUGGCCUUUUGUAAAUGACUCCAAAU